Long non-coding RNA from Motacilla alba alba, 336 nucleotides. RefSeq lists it as uncharacterized. The record is from RefSeq and is a predicted model, not a curated record. The transcript is spliced from 3 exons. NCBI's taxonomy places the organism in Eukaryota, Metazoa, Chordata, Aves, Passeriformes, Motacillidae.
CACAGGGCAAACUGUGGUCCAGAAGGACCUGGCAGGAUUGAGCAGCAGCUGACCUGCAGGAGGGGAGGGCUCCUCAGCAAGCCUCCUCUGGGGAACCUGGCACUUCAGGACUGGAGCCUGCCGAGCCCCAGAGGCUUCAAGGAAAGAUGGAGAGAUAAGGACUUGGUAAUGUUGAGAUCUGGAACACAUUAAAAAAACAGGCGUUGCUAACUGACUGCAAGGCAAUAGGAGUGUAUCAGCAGGAUGAGGGCUGCCCAGCAGAGUCCAAGGGAGGCGGCAGGAUGCCAUCUGUCUGAGUGAAGAUUCCAGCAGAACCCUGGCAUAUUACGAGGUUUU